RNAcentral lists this ribosomal RNA (800 nucleotides) under uncultured bacterium. RNAcentral describes it as "bacterial SSU rRNA". It matches the Rfam family "Bacterial small subunit ribosomal RNA", at positions 8 to 815 of the family's 1533-position model. The record is from RNAcentral.
AGAGUUUGAUCCUGGCUCAGGAUAAACGCUGGCGGCGCACAUAAGACAUGCAAGUCGAACGGACUUAAUACCUUGCUUGCAAGGUAAGCGGUUAGUGGCGGACUGGUGAGUAACACGUAAGAAAUCUGCCUAUCAGAGGGGAAUAACAGUGAGAAAUCAUUGCUAAUACCGCAUAUGCCAUAUUUAUCGCAUGAUAGAAGUGGGAAAGGAGCAAUCCGCUGAUAGAUGAGCUUGCGGCUGAUUAGCUAGUUGGUGGGGUAAAGGCCUACCAAGGCGACGAUCAGUAGCCGGACUGAGAGGUUGAACGGCCACAUUGGGACUGAGAUACGGCCCAGACUCCUACGGGAGGCAGCAGUCGGGAAUAUUGCGCAAUGGAGGGAACUCUGACGCAGUGACGCCGCGUAUAGGAAGAAGGUUUUCGGAUUGUAAACUAUUGUCCACAGGGAAGAAAGAAGGACAGUACCUGUGAAGAAAGCUCCGGCUAACUACGUGCCAGCAGCCGCGGUAAUACGUAGGGAGCAAGCGUUAUCCGGAAUUAUUGGGUGUAAAGGGUGCGUAGACGGGAGAACAAGUUAGUUGUGAAAACCCUCGGCUCAACUGAGGACGUGCAACUAAAACUAUUCAUCUUGAGUGCAGGAGAGGAAAGUGGAAUUCCUAGUGUAGCGGUGAAAUGCGUAGAUAUUAGGAAGAACACCGGUGGCGAAGGCGACUUUCUGGACUGUAACUGACGUUGAGGCACGAAAGUGUGGGGAGCAAACAGGAUUAGAUACCCUGGUAGUCCACACUGUAAACGAUGGAUA